Long non-coding RNA from Pygocentrus nattereri (red-bellied piranha), 3337 nucleotides. NCBI's taxonomy places the organism in Eukaryota, Metazoa, Chordata, Actinopteri, Characiformes, Serrasalmidae. The record is from Ensembl.
AAGCAAAGUAGCGUUUGUUCUCGUGGCGGCAUGCACGAGCUCCGGUGGGAAAAGGCAGGUUGAUGGUGAAGCUGUUUUAAAGUAACUAGAUGGUGAGAGUUUUAUUGGUGUUGGAAUAACUAAAGUGGACUACGGGGACGUGUUAUCUGAUGAGCCAGCUGCCUCUGUAUGUGAAGUCACAAUUUGAACAGUGAGUUUGGGAGCUUCAGGAGCCCGCUGUGUGUGGGAGCUUCAGGAGCCCGCUGUGGGUGGGAGCUUCAGGAGCCCGCUGUGUGUGUGGGAGCUUCAGGAGCCCGCUGUGUGUGGGAGCUUCAGGUGCCCGCUGUGUGUGGGAGCUUCAGGAGCCCGCUGUGGGUGGGAGCUUCAGGAGCCCGCUGUGUGUGGGAGCUUCAGGAGCCCGCUGUGGGUGGGCGCUUCAGGAGCCCGCUGUGGGUGGGAGCUUCAGGAGCCCGCUGUGGGUGGGAGCUUCAGGAGCCCGCUGUGUGUGUGGGAGCUUCAGGAGCCCGCUGUGUGUGUGGGCGAGCUUCAGGAGCCCGCUGUGUGUGGGAGCUUCAGGAGCCCGCUGUGGGUGGGAGCUUCAGGAGCCCGCUGUGUGUGUGUGGGAGCUUCAGGAGCCCGCUGUAAGUGGGAGCUUCAGGAGCCCGCUGUGGGUGGGAGCUUCAGGAGCCCGCUGUGGGUGGGCGCUUCAGGAGCCCGCUGUGGGUGGGCGCUUCAGGAGCCCGCUGUGGGUGGGCGCUUCAGGAGCCCGCUGUGGGUGGGCGCUUCAGGAGCCCGCUGUGGGUGUGCGUGCAGAUGCUAAUGGGAUUGACCCAGACCAGCCAGUGAUAAACAGCCACUGUUUUGUCCUCCUUGUUUUCUGGUUAUGAUCUCUGCUUGGUUUGCCAAGGGGCAGGUUGCUCCCUUGAGAGUAGGUUCUCCCCAUUUAUUUUUGCUGUGUCACUGUGUGGAGUGUUUGAGUGCAUUUGCUUUAUUGUAUUUGGGAUUUAUUUAUUGAUGUACUUAUUUAUUUUGGAUUUAGUUUUGGGUUUUGUGUAUUUUCUGUUAUACUUGUGGGUUGAACACCUGGCCUUGGGAAAUAAUUGCUCGAUAUUUACUGCCACCGUAAUUUCAAAUAUCCAGCAAUCCAUUGGUAACAGCCUUGUUGUGGGUUCAGAUUUUGUAUGUGUGGGAGAAUUGCCAGAGUAAUCUUUUUUUAUUGUUUAUGGUGGAGUGUCUUGGAAAAAUUAGCUGCUUUAGCAGUUUGGCCCUGUAACUUCCUGUUAAUAAAAUGUUCCUUUUCUAAAUGUUAUUGGUUGUGACCGCAUUGUUGAUUAUUCUCAUUUAUUAAUAAAUUUUCUACGCUUCAGCCUCAAACCGUUUCUGUGUGCCUUAUGAAGGUUGAGUUGAUUACUAAAAGAGUAAUUAAAUAAGGUAACCAGGGGUCACAAGUGUAAAAGUUUGAGCUUUUUAUGUAUUAUAAUUGUUUAUAUUGUUUUUUUUAUUUUGUGAAGGAUAGAGUUUAUAUUUUUAUCUUAUUUUUUUUUUACUUUUAUUAUAAUAUAUAUUGUUUAUAUAGUAACAAGUAACAAACUGGAAAAGCCUUGUUCAGCAAGUAAUCUUAUUUUAUCUGUGUAGCGCCCCUUUCCCUCUACGGUGAAUACUUAUGUAUGUGUUUACGAGAUAAGUACGGGGGCUUGGGUUCCAGUAGUAAAUGCCAAAUUUGUAAAACUCUUUAGUAUUGACUGGAUUAUGUUGCUAGGUAACCAAUAGUACUUAGUGAAUUAAAUAGACUGUAAACAAAGCAAUAUCACCCGUUUUAGCUUGAUUCAAACUGUAAUUCAGUUUAUUGCUGCUUAUUUUCUCUCUCUGGAUUAAUUCUUUGCAAGGUUAUCAGUUUAAAUACUUCUUGUCCCCUUUCUGGUUCUGUUUAACAACGUAGGACAAGUGGAGCAAUUAUGUAAACAAUGUACAAUUCACCAUAAACACUUAACCAUACUCCCAAGAUGAACAAAAUGCACACCUUCACCUUUGUGCAGUAAUAACUAAAUGAAACAAAUCAUUUGUUUUCAUAUAUCUAGCAUGCAGUGCAUAUGCUUAUGGCGGCUAAAACCCAAUGUACCCAAUGAACCGGUUGCAGGCCUGUUUCGUGGCUCGGGUGCGUGGUGGCCUUAAAACAGUAAACACACUGGCCGCUUCACUCCGUAGAGCCAACAAAAUGAAAUAAAAGGGUGACGUAUCGAGCUUUAAGUUAUCUUGGUUCAGUAGUUCGGAAGGAAGGUUCGUUACUCACGCCCGGGGCUCCGACCCCGCGGGAAGUUGCUUGGGCUGUUGAAGGUUCAACCGGCCAGGAUUAACGAACGGCUCCGACCCCCUCCUCUCAGUGUGGGACGGCUCUCCCGUUGCAGUGAUAACAGUCCCUCGUUAACGGCAGAGGAUACUGGAUACGGACGAACGUCUGACUGUUUUAGUCAACUUCGAUGCUAGUCAGACUACACUGUAGCUGUACUGGACACGCUAGCCUACAACUGGAAGCUGAGCUACUCACGGGCAAAACAUACGGCAGUUCGGUGCUGCUUAAAUGCCGUCUAACCGACCGCGUUUGGCAGAUAAAGUCACCCACUCACACAGGGCUAUCGCACCGACAACCUAGGGCAGGUAAUGAACUUAUUUUUCUCCAAAAACCUUGGAAAAUGUCGUUUGUAGUGCCGUCGCUGCUCCACACACACGCCCUCUCGGUCUCCCAGUCUCUCCCUCGUUCGUGUUUUUUUUCUCUCUUUCCCGCCCCCUCCCACCGAACCAAUCACUAAAGGCUCGUACAGGUUAACUAUUGAUCUGUCAAAUCGCGUGAGGCACAGAGGGUUACUGACAGGCAAGGUAAACUUGGUUGCACUGCGCACAUGGCAAACUAGUACCUUCCAAUCUAACUUUAAGAAAACCGGAAAUGUCAACUUUUAUAAACUAUAAACCCAACUAUUGUAUAAUUAUUUAUUUAUCAAACUUAUGUACCAGAACUUAUCACUUAAUUCCUUUUAAAGGGCUACAUCUGUCCUGAGUUUUGGAACCAAGAUGAUUGUGUCAGUUCCUUACACUUCAAAUGGGAAUGACAGUGAACUCUGAAAUUUCUGGAAUCUCUAGGAAUUGCACUAGUUAAUAACUUGUUUGCAUGAUCACCAAAUGUCAUAUCAAACUCUGCAUCCACAAGCAUCACCAGCAGUGUCUGUCUGUGAUGAUGACGACACAGCUUCCUGUUUUUCUCUUGUAGAAAUGUGACCUUACCAUAUUGUCGCAGAGCAGUCUGUAUCAGGCUUAAAGCUGAUCUCAGCACUGCAGGACCCGUUUAGAUUCCAUGUUGGCAGUU